Molecule: ribosomal RNA, 465 nt
Filed under: Vreelandella stevensii
Lineage: Bacteria; Pseudomonadati; Pseudomonadota; Gammaproteobacteria; Oceanospirillales; Halomonadaceae
Description: partial 16S ribosomal RNA
Rfam family: Bacterial small subunit ribosomal RNA
Source: RNAcentral
CCUACGGGGGGCUGCAGUGGGGAAUAUUGGACAAUGGGGGGAACCCUGAUCCAGCCAUGCCGCGUGUGUGAAGAAGGCCCUCGGGUUGUAAAGCACUUUCAGUGAGGAAGAACGCCUGGUGGUUAAUACCCAUCAGGAAAGACAUCACUCACAGAAGAAGCACCGGCUAACUCCGUGCCAGCAGCCGCGGUAAUACGGAGGGUGCGAGCGUUAAUCGGAAUUACUGGGCGUAAAGCGCGCGUAGGUGGCUUGAUAAGCCGGAUGUGAAAGCCCCGGGCUCAACCUGGGAACGGCAUCCGGAACUGUCAAGCUAGAGUGCAGGAGAGGAAUGUAGAAUUCCCGGUGUAGCGGUGAAAUGCGUAGAGAUCGGGAGGAAUACCAGUGGCGAAGGCGGCCUUCUGGACUGACACUGACGCUGAGGUGCGAAAGCGUGGGUAGCAAACAGGAUUAGAUACCCCGGUAGUC